GGGCUACACUGCUGGCGCGGGAUGGCCCAGGACAGAGUGGGCGCUAUAGCAGCCGAGGGACAGACAGAGAAUUGCGACUAGAAUUCGAUCGAUUGGUACGAGGGACCACGUGGCCAGGGGCUGGCCAAUGACCAGGCCGCCCGGGAUGAGCUAAUAAUGGAAGCAAUUUGUAACUUUCAGUAGCUCUCUAGGCCUGGGUACCGGAGGGAGGGAGGCGGGCAGAGGAGGGGAGAUGGGCACCCCCAGUCUUUCCAUCCUCCUCAUUCGUCUAGGGGCACCCGAAUCCCCUAUUCCUUAUUUCCCCUAUCACUCAGGCACUGGCAGGGUCCUUGGCCCACUCCUGUUGGCCGCCGCGGCUCCAAAGCGAGAUGUGCCUGAGACAGGUUUGACCAGGCAACUGAAAAGACAUCCCUAAGGGAAGACAAAGCAAAGGUAUGAAAGGAACACACGUCCCUGACUGACUAGGAGGAACAGAGCUGCCUGCUGUCUGGAACCGCUUCCUCCCAGACUAAGGUUUCCCAGAGGAAGAGAGAGAAUUUGGACAAAUGAAUGAGGGACAACGUUCUCCUGAGGGUUUUCUUUAAGGGGCGAGGAUCACUGCCGCUAGCUCCUUUGAAAGCAGAAUUAAGAGGCAGUGCAGGAAGGCACAGCAGGAAGGCUCAUGGUUAGACCACAGAGAAGGAAGCAGCCACUGCUGGGGACCUACCCGGUGCUGGUCACUGACAAGCUGUCUCAUUAAACCUUCUCAGACCC
RNAcentral lists this long non-coding RNA (753 nucleotides) under Homo sapiens (human). RNAcentral describes it as "HSALNT0368434". Lineage: Eukaryota; Metazoa; Chordata; Mammalia; Primates; Hominidae. The record is from RNAcentral.